This 474-nucleotide ribosomal RNA is filed under the name Megaselia sp. A. RNAcentral's name for it is "partial 16S ribosomal RNA". Lineage: Eukaryota; Metazoa; Arthropoda; Insecta; Diptera; Phoridae. The record is from RNAcentral.
GCUGCACCUAAAACUGUAUCUUAAUCCAACAUCGAGGUCGCAAUCUUUUUUAUCAAUAUGAACUCUCUAAAAAAAUUACGCUGUUAUCCCUAAAGUAACUUGAUUUCUUAAUCAUUAAUAAUGGAUCAAUAAUUCAUUAAUUUAUGUUUAUUAUAAAUUAAAAGUUUAACAAAUUUUAAUAUCACCCCAAUAAAAUAUAUAAAUUUAUAAUAAUUUAAUUUAUCUAUAUAAUUAAAAUAAUUUAUAUAUAAAGAUUUAUAGGGUCUUCUCGUCUUUUAAAAUUAUUUUAGCUUUUUAACUAAAAAAUAAAAUUCUAUUAUAAAUUUAUAUGAAACAGUUAAUAUUUCAUCCAACCAUUCAUACCAGCCUUCAAUUAAAAGACUAAUGAUUAUGCUACCUUUGCACAGUUAAGAUACUGCGGCCAUUUAAAAAAUUNNNGNGGNCAGGCUAGACUUUAAAUUAAAUUCAAAAAGA